RNAcentral lists this unclassified non-coding RNA (308 nucleotides) under Hevea brasiliensis (rubber tree). Lineage: Eukaryota; Viridiplantae; Streptophyta; Magnoliopsida; Malpighiales; Euphorbiaceae. The record is from RNAcentral.
GAGAGAGAGAGAGAGAGUAGUUCUUCAAGUGCAUGUAAUUGAAACAGGCCUGACUGUACCUGAUAGGAUUGUUGGUGAACUCUUGCAGCCAUGGGGGCUAUCUGAAAUUGAUUGAAUUGGGUCUUGUGGGCACGUAAGACCUGACCUGACAUCUGCUUUCAUUGAGUUAGUUAAUAGCUAUCGUUAAGUGAAAUAUUUAUUUCAUAAUCUUGACAAUUAUAUAAACUUUAUGUGUGGACAUAGAUUGUGUGGAAUGGAUUGAUGCUCACAAGUAUUCAUUAUGCUAUUUACAAGGAUGGCAAAAGCAC